CAGUAGCCGCGGGAAUACGAAGGGUGCAAGCGUUACUCGGAAUUACUGGGCGUAAAGCGUGCGUAGGUGGUGGUUUAAGUCCGUUGUGAAAGCCCUGGGCUCAACCUGGGAAUUGCAGUGGAUACUGGGUCACUAGAGUGUGGUAGAGGAUAGUGGAAUUUCCGGUGUAGCAGUGAAAUGCGUAGAGAUCGGAAGGAACAUCUGUGGCGAAGGCGACUAUCUGGGCCAACACUGACGCUGAGGCACGAAAGCGUGGGGAGCAAACAGGAUUAGAUACCCGAGUAGUCCCUGUCUCUUAUAC
This 301-nucleotide ribosomal RNA is filed under the name uncultured bacterium. Its description in RNAcentral is "partial 16S ribosomal RNA". It matches the Rfam family "Bacterial small subunit ribosomal RNA", at positions 509 to 807 of the family's 1533-position model. The record is from RNAcentral.